GUCGAGGGGUAACAGGGAGCUUCGGUUCCGCUGACGACCGGCGCACGGGUGCGUAACGCGUAUGAAACCUGCCUUAUACUGGGGGAUAGCCCGAAGAAAUUCGGAUUAAUACCCCAUAAUAUAAUUGAUUGGCAUCAAUUAAUUAUUAAAACUCCGGUGGUAUAAGAUGGUCAUGCGUGACAUUAGCUAGUUGGUGAGGUAACGGCUCACCAAGGCGACGAUGUCUAGGGGUUCUGAGAGGAAGGUCCCCCACACUGGUACUGAGACACGGACCAGACUCCUACGGGAGGCAGCAGUGAGGAAUAUUGGUCAAUGGACGCAAGUCUGAACCAGCCAUGUCGCGUGCAGGAUGACUGCCCUAUGGGUUGUAAGCUGCUUUUAUAUGGGAAGAAUGUGACCUACGUGUAGGUUUUUGCCGGUACCAUACGAAUAAGCAUCGGCUAACUCCGUGCCAGCAGCCGCGGUAAUACGGAGGAUGCGAGCGUUAUCCGGAUUCAUUGGGUUUAAAGGGUGCGUAGGCGGAAGUGUAAGUCAGGGGUGAAAGUUUGCAGCUCAACUGUAAAAUUGCCUUUGAUACUGCAUUUCUUGAGUACAUUUGAGGUAGGCGGAAUGUGUUGUGUAGCGGUGAAAUGCUUAGAUAUAACACAGAACACCGAUUGCGAAGGCAGCUUACUAAACUGUAACUGACGCUGAUGCACGAAAGCGUGGGGAUCGAACAGGAUUAGAUACCCUGGUAGUCCACGCCGUAAACGAUGAUAACUAGUUGUUUGCAAUAGACCGUAAGCGACAAAGCGAAAGCAUUAAGUUAUCCACCUGGGGAGUACGUUGGCAACAAUGAAACUCAAAGGAAUUGACGGGGGCCCGCACAAGCGGAGGAGCAUGUGGUU
This 887-nucleotide ribosomal RNA is filed under the name uncultured Bacteroidota bacterium. Its description in RNAcentral is "bacterial SSU rRNA". It matches the Rfam family "Bacterial small subunit ribosomal RNA", at positions 61 to 946 of the family's 1533-position model. Lineage: Bacteria; Pseudomonadati; Bacteroidota. The record is from RNAcentral.